Molecule: long non-coding RNA, 406 nt
Organism: Etheostoma cragini (Arkansas darter)
Lineage: Eukaryota; Metazoa; Chordata; Actinopteri; Perciformes; Percidae
Exons: 2
Source: RefSeq, a predicted model, not a curated record
GACAUUGUACCAUACCCUCAAAGUUGAAGGUUUGGUAUUUUGACACUAAGGUGCAGACCCGCAAAUAACCUUACACCAUGGCAACAGAUAAAAGGAAUUAUCCAAAUUAGCAGCUAGAGUCAGAAUGUAUUUCCAAAAAAAAAAAUGUGAGGAGAUGUUCUUCUAUCUGCACUCACCUUUCCAGUGAGGAUAACACAUGGGAGCCACAAGACAACCUGGACCUGGACCUUAUCACCGAGUACCUGCAGAGACACGAGGAGGAGGAGGGCAAAAGAAAAGGUGUCCGGGAGGCCUCGGGAGACUCAGAGGAGCGAGGGAGCAAGAGGAAGAAGGAGGAGAAACAGAGAAGAGGAGAGAGAUCAAAAUGUCACCACUGUCAACACUGUGACAAAUCCUUCACAACAUC